CAACUGCUCCGAUACGGCUCGUCGUUAUUGUUACACUAGUAUAGUCAUAAAGAAGACGUGAGAUCCACAAGACUGAACUAGGUCAAUUGAGGUUGAAUCAAUACAACUCUUGCGUGUUAUUACUUUCUGUCUUUUACUAUAUAUUUGAUUCUUGUACUAUAGUAAAACCCCGAUCAAAUAUUUAUAUCUUCCAGUAGAAAGGUCUUCCUGUUAUCAAGCAUCUGACAAAGGUUACUUUUUAGCUACAAUUAAAUAUUAUUUGAUCCCUCAUCCUGUUAUCAGGUUUAUGAAUGAGGUUACCUUUUAAGUCAUUUAAAUAUUACGCAGAUCUCUCUUCCUAUUAUCAGAUAUCAUACAGAGGUUAUUAUUAUAAGUUUAUCAUUUUCAUCUAUAUGCUCAUAUCUAUUUAAGUGUACAGGCUAUAUCAAAAAUUUCUGAUACGACUUUAAUGGUAAUUAAUUAAUAAAAAUGCAAUUAAAUAAGGAUUUAUUUAUUUAUUUAUUUAUUUAUUAAUCCUUAGAUUUUAUAGACGAUAUAUAAAGAUCUUGAGUCUUGAUAAACCACAACUUAUUUAACAGACAAUUAUAGAUAUUUAAUAUAUUUAAAAUAAAGUUUUUAACUUUAAUCUUACUAAGUAUUAAAUGGUUUCUGGUUUUCGCAGCCGAGAUUGCUUCCAUAACUUACUUGGAAAAUAUCACAGUACCUCUUGUAGAACCCAAUCCUGUCAAUAAUCUCAGGAUUGGUUCCUUUGCCACACUCAAGUCCUCCAUUGAUAAUGUUGGUGAUCACACCAUACCCUGAUAGUCUGUU
This 810-nucleotide long non-coding RNA is filed under the name Zostera marina. Its description in RNAcentral is "long non-coding RNA (ZMAR_LNC002548)". Lineage: Eukaryota; Viridiplantae; Streptophyta; Magnoliopsida; Alismatales; Zosteraceae. The record is from RNAcentral.